RNAcentral lists this unclassified non-coding RNA (265 nucleotides) under Phlogicylindrium sp. Its description in RNAcentral is "partial contains 5.8S ribosomal RNA, internal transcribed spacer 2, and large subunit ribosomal RNA". The record is from RNAcentral. Lineage: Eukaryota; Fungi; Ascomycota; Sordariomycetes; Amphisphaeriales; Phlogicylindriaceae.
CGCACAUUGCGCCCAUUAGUAUUCUAUUGGGCAUGCCUGUUCGAGCGUCAUUUCGACCCUUAAGCUUAGCUUAGUGUUGAGAAUCUACGGUGGUAGGCUUAAGUCUUACACUGUAGUUCUUAAAAACCAACGGCGGAAUUAUGGUAUCCUCUGAACGUAAUAAAUAUUUAUGUCGUUUUGGUUAGGUGCUGUAGUUGUAGCCGUUAAACCCCCUAUAUUUUAAAUGGUUGACCUCGGAUCAGGUAGGAAUACCCGCUGAACUUAA